UGGGGAAUUUUGGACAAUGGGCGAAAGCCUGAUCCAGCAAUGCCGCGUGAGUGAAGAAGGCCUUCGGGUUGUAAAGCUCUUUUGUCAGGGAAGAAACGGUGAAGGCUAAUAUCCUUUGCUAAUGACGGUACCUGAAGAAUAAGCACCGGCUAACUACGUGCCAGCAGCCGCGGUAAUACGUAGGGUGCAAGCGUUAAUCGGAAUUACUGGGCGUAAAGCGUGCGCAGGCGGUUUUGUAAGUCUGUCGUGAAAUCCCCGGGCUCAACCUGGGAAUUGCGAUGGAGACUGCAAGGCUAGAAUCUGGCAGAGGGGGGUAGAAUUCCACGUGUAGCAGUGAAAUGCGUAGAGAUGUGGAGGAACACCGAUGGCGAAGGCAGCCCCCUGGGUCAAGAUUGACGCUCAUGCACGAAAGCGUGGGGAGCAAACA
Molecule: ribosomal RNA, 427 nt
Filed under: uncultured Massilia sp.
Lineage: Bacteria; Pseudomonadati; Pseudomonadota; Betaproteobacteria; Burkholderiales; Oxalobacteraceae
Description: bacterial SSU rRNA
Rfam family: Bacterial small subunit ribosomal RNA
Source: RNAcentral